This 510-nucleotide ribosomal RNA is filed under the name uncultured bacterium. RNAcentral describes it as "partial 16S ribosomal RNA". It matches the Rfam family "Bacterial small subunit ribosomal RNA", at positions 28 to 507 of the family's 1533-position model. The record is from RNAcentral.
GACGAACGCUGGCGGCGUGCUUAACACAUGCAAGUCGAACGAAGAGCGAUGGACGCUUGCUUCUAUCAAUCUUAGUGGCGAACGGGUGAGUAACGCGUAAUCAACCUGCCCUUCAGAGGGGGACAACAGUUGGAAACGACUGCUAAUGCCGCAUACGAUCUGACCUCGGCAUCGAGGAUAGAUGAAAGGUGGCCUCUAUUUAUAAGCUAUCACUGAAGGAGGGGAUUGCGUCUGAUUAGCUAGUUGGAGGGGUAACGGCCCACCAAGGCGAUGAUCAGUAGCCGGUCUGAGAGGAUGAACGGCCACAUUGGGACUGAGACACGGCCCAGACUCCUACGGGAGGCAGCAGUGGGGAAUCUUCCGCAAUGGACGAAAGUCUGACGGAGCAACGCCGCGUGAGUGAUGACGGCCUUCGGGUUGUAAAGCCCUGUUAAUCGGGACGAAAGGCCUUCUUGCGAAUAGUUAGAAGGAUUGACGGUACCGGAAGAGAAAGCCACGGCUAACUACGUG